UACAGAGGUCCCGAGCGUUGUUCGGAAUCACUGGGCGUAAAGGGCGUGUAGGCGGUCCGCUAAGUCUGAUGUGAAAGCCCGGGGCUCACCCCCGGAAGGGCAUUGGAAACUGACGGACUCGAGUCCCGAAGAGGAGGGUGGAAUUCCUGGUGUAGCGGUGAAAUGCGUAGAUAUCAGGAGGAACACCGGUGGCGAAGGCGGCCCUCUGGACGGUGACUGACGCUGAGACGCGAAAGCGUGGGGAGCAAACAGG
RNAcentral lists this ribosomal RNA (253 nucleotides) under uncultured bacterium. RNAcentral's name for it is "partial 16S ribosomal RNA". It matches the Rfam family "Bacterial small subunit ribosomal RNA", at positions 524 to 776 of the family's 1533-position model. The record is from RNAcentral.